RNAcentral lists this ribosomal RNA (460 nucleotides) under uncultured bacterium. Its description in RNAcentral is "bacterial SSU rRNA". It matches the Rfam family "Bacterial small subunit ribosomal RNA", at positions 30 to 507 of the family's 1533-position model. The record is from RNAcentral.
AUUGAACGCUGGCGGCAUGCCUUACACAUGCAAGUCGAACGGUAACGGGCCUUCGGGUGCCGACGAGUGGCGAACGGGUGAGUAAUGUAUCGGAACGUACCUUUCAGUGGGGGAUAACGUAGCGAAAGUUACGCUAAUACCGCAUAUUCUGUGAGCAGGAAAGCAGGGGAUCGCAAGACCUUGCGCUGAUUGAGCGGCCGAUAUCAGAUUAGCUAGUUGGUGAGGUAAAGGCUCACCAAGGCGACGAUCUGUAGCGGGUCUGAGAGGAUGAUCCGCCACACUGGAACUGAGACACGGUCCAGACUCCUACGGGAGGCAGCAGUGGGGAAUAUUGCGCAAUGGGGGGAACCCUGACGCAGCGACGCCGCGUGAAGGAAGAAGGCCUUCGGGUUGUAAACUUCUUUGAUGAGGGACGAAGGAAGUGACGGUACCUCAAAAACAAGCCACGGCUAACUACGUG